Molecule: ribosomal RNA, 489 nt
Filed under: uncultured bacterium
Lineage: Bacteria
Description: bacterial SSU rRNA
Rfam family: Bacterial small subunit ribosomal RNA
Source: RNAcentral
AAAGGAAUUGACGGGGGCCCGCACAAGCGGUGGAGUAUGUUGUUUAAUUCGAAGCAACGCGAAGAACCUUACCAGGUUUUGACAUGGCUCUAAAUGCCUUAGAGAUAGGGAGAUAGCUAUAGAGCACACAGGUGGUGCAUGGUUGUCGUCAGCUCGUGUCGUGAGAUGUUGGGUUAAGUCCCGCAACGAGCGCAACCCUUGUCGUUAGUUACCAUCAUUCAGUUGGGGACUCUAGCGAGACUGCCGGUGACAAACCGGAGGAAGGUGGGGAUGACGUCAAAUCAUCAUGCCCCUUAUGACCUGGGCUACAAACGUACUACAAUGGCGAAAACAACGGGAAGCAAUGUGGUGACACAAAGCGAAACUCUUAAAAUUCGUCUCAGUUCGGAUCGAAGUCUGCAACUCGACUUCGUGAAGUUGGAAUCGCUAGUAAUCGCGGAUCAGCAUGCCGCGGUGAAUACGUUCUCGGGCCUUGCACACACCGCCCGU